CCUACGGGAGGCAGCAGUGAGGAAUAUUGGUCAAUGGACGAGAGUCUGAACCAGCCAAGUAGCGUGAAGGAUGACUGCCCUAUGGGUUGUAAACUUCUUUUAUAUGGGAAUAAAAUGUUCCACGUGUGGGUUUUUGUAUGUACCAUAUGAAUAAGGAUCGGCUAACUCCGUGCCAGCAGCCGCGGUAAUACGGAGGAUCCGAGCGUUAUCCGGAUUUAUUGGGUUUAAAGGGAGCGUAGUUGGCUUGUUAAGUCAGUUGUGAAAGUUUGCGGCUCAACCGUAAAAUUGCAGUUGAAACUGGCAGUCUUGAGUACAGUAGAGGUGGGCGGAAUUCGUGGUGUAGCGGUGAAAUGCUUAGAUAUCACGAAGAACUCCGAUUGCGAAGGCAGCUCACUGGACUGCAACUGACACUGAGGCUCGAAAGUGUGGGUAUCAAACAGGAUUAGAUACCCCUGUAGUC
Molecule: ribosomal RNA, 460 nt
Filed under: uncultured bacterium
Lineage: Bacteria
Description: partial 16S ribosomal RNA
Rfam family: Bacterial small subunit ribosomal RNA
Source: RNAcentral